AGUGAACGCUGGCGGUAGGCCUAACACAUGCAAGUCGAACGGUAGCACAGUAAGAGCUUGCUCUUACGGGUGGCGAGUGGCGGACGGGUGAGGAGUACAUCGGAAUCUACUUUUUCGUGGGGGAUAACGUAGGGAAACUUACGCUAAUACCGCAUACGACCUACGGGUGAAAGCAGGGGAUCUUCGGACCUUGCGCGAUUGAAUGAGCCGAUGUCGGAUUAGCUAGUUGGCGGGGUAAAGGCCCACCAAGGCGACGAUCCGUAGCUGGUCUGAGAGGAUGAUCAGCCACACUGGAACUGAGACACGGUCCAGACUCCUACGGGAGGCAGCAGUGGGGAAUAUUGGACAAUGGGCGCAAGCCUGAUCCAGCCAUACCGCGUGGGUGAAGAAGGCCUUCGGGUUGUAAAGCCCUUUUGUUGGGAAAGAAAAGCAGCAGGUUAAUACCCCGCUGUUCUGACGGUACCCAAAGAAUAAGCACCGGCUAACUUCGUG
RNAcentral lists this ribosomal RNA (492 nucleotides) under uncultured bacterium. RNAcentral describes it as "partial 16S ribosomal RNA". It matches the Rfam family "Bacterial small subunit ribosomal RNA", at positions 29 to 507 of the family's 1533-position model. The record is from RNAcentral.